Molecule: long non-coding RNA, 242 nt
Filed under: Spirodela polyrhiza (greater duckweed)
Lineage: Eukaryota; Viridiplantae; Streptophyta; Magnoliopsida; Alismatales; Araceae
Description: long non-coding RNA (SPOL_LNC002523)
Source: RNAcentral
UUAGUUUCAUAGGGAGGUGGAGUUUCUAUGGGACUUCUCCCAUGUCCCUCAAAAGAUGAACACUUUUUGUCAUUUUUUUUUACUCAUUACAUGUCGGGAGAAGGCCUGUUUCUUUCAAUCAUAAAUAUGUCCUGCAAAACAUUACUGUUAUAAUUUAUGUUGAAAAAUGAUUUUAUUUUUCUCAUAAAAUCUCUUCAUCUAUACCAUAGUGUUCAAUCAAAUAAUUUAACACAUAUAUACAU